CCUCGACUGCCUUCCACAUCUCAAAAACAUUUAAAAAGUUUAAAAGCCCUUCUUCAAAAGUGGCUGUAAGACGUGUAAGACAGUCGAGUAGAAUUUACAUUGGAGAUUGUUUUAAACGAUGGAGAGAUUUUCGUGAUCAACACGGCCUGAAAACGGAUGAAGAGUUGGCAAAGUAUCUUUUGGACAGGACAUGUGGAUCGGUCUACUCCAUCAUGUGACUGGAGAACAUGAGUGGUCUCUGGAUGCUUGUCAGCAUGAUCCUUUUGUGACAGAGAGAGAGACUGGAUUCAGAAAGGCUCCACUCCACACAAAGCCCUCAGUGACAUCAUUCUCAGUGAACGCUGGCUGAAAGAAGUCCCAAAAUAUUUGAAAUUCAGAUCUACAGCAAAUUUGGAGGCGUUUCACAACCAUCUCCUAAUGUAUGCAAGCAAAAGAUUCAGUUACAUCCCACCUGUUUACGAGGCACGGAUACUGCUU
Long non-coding RNA from Nothobranchius furzeri (turquoise killifish), 477 nucleotides. RefSeq lists it as uncharacterized. NCBI's taxonomy places the organism in Eukaryota, Metazoa, Chordata, Actinopteri, Cyprinodontiformes, Nothobranchiidae. The record is from RefSeq and is a predicted model, not a curated record.